AGAGUUUGAUCCUGGGCUCAAAUUGAACGCUGGCGGCAUGCCUUACACAUGCAAGUCGAACGGCAGCACGGGGGCAACCCUGGUGGCGAGUGGCGAACGGGUGAGUAAAACAUCGGAACGUGUCCUGUAGUGGGGGAUAGCCCGGCGAAAGCCGGAUUAAUACCGCAUACGCUCUGCGGAGGAAAGCGGGGGAUCUUCGGACCUCGCGCUACAGGGGCGGCCGAUGGCAGAUUAGCUGGUUGGUGGGGUAAAGGCCUACCAAGGCGACGAUCUGUAGCUGGUCUGAGAGGACGACCAGCGACACUGAGACUGAGACACGGCUCAUACUCCUACGGGAGGCAGCAGUGUGUGAUUUUGGACGACGGGGGCAACCCUGAUUGCCAAUGCCGCGAGUAUGGCCUUCGCCUUGUAAAUUGUAUAUUGUCUUGUGUAGAGAAAGACUGCCUCAAUACCUUGGGGGGGAUGACGAUGACGGAAGAAUAAGCACAGGCUAACUACGUGUCAGCCGCCGCGGUAUAC
RNAcentral lists this ribosomal RNA (519 nucleotides) under uncultured Burkholderiales bacterium. RNAcentral describes it as "bacterial SSU rRNA". It matches the Rfam family "Bacterial small subunit ribosomal RNA", at positions 8 to 526 of the family's 1533-position model. Lineage: Bacteria; Pseudomonadati; Pseudomonadota; Betaproteobacteria; Burkholderiales. The record is from RNAcentral.